This 1142-nucleotide unclassified non-coding RNA is filed under the name Candidatus Phytoplasma citri. RNAcentral describes it as "Candidatus Phytoplasma aurantifolia partial contains 16S ribosomal RNA and 16S-23S ribosomal RNA intergenic spacer". The stretch from base 210 to 1142 matches the Rfam family "Bacterial small subunit ribosomal RNA", at positions 1 to 1298 of the family's 1533-position model. Lineage: Bacteria; Bacillati; Mycoplasmatota; Mollicutes; Acholeplasmatales; Acholeplasmataceae. The record is from RNAcentral.
UAGCGCUGUGGCACGGCCAGGACGAGCAAUCUGUGAUUGUAUGACUCAGUUCGGACGGGUGUGGGCUAGUAGAUCGAUCUGUGUCGGUGUCGCUAGUGAUUGACGAUGAACUACUGUGCGGAGGUUAAGUUCACGCGGGGUGUUCGCGCCCUCCGUCAAGGAAAGACACACUAAUGCGUAGCAUGGCAAUUACAAUGUGAAGAAAGGCUGAAAGGCAUGCAGCGAACCCGGCAAAGAUAGACGCAACUGAGAUUUGUCUCUGCAAGUCGUGAAUACGAAGCUGGAAUCAAUAGUAAUCAGCGGAUCAUCAGUGCCGCGUUGAAUAUGUACACGGGGUUUGUUCACCGGCCCGUCAACGGUAAGACAUAAGGGGCAAGUGUUAUCCGGAAUUAUUGGGCGUAAAGGGUGCGUAGGCGGUCUAGUAAGUCAGUGGUGUAAUGGCAACGCUCAACGUUGUCCGGCUAUUGAAACUGCUAAACUUGAGUUAGAUAGAGGCGAGUGGAAUUCCAUGUGUAGCGGUAAAAUGCGUAAAUAUAUGGAGGAACACCAGAGGCGUAGGCGGCUCGCUGGGUCUUAACUGACGCUGAGGCACGAAAGCGUGGGGAGCAAACAGGAUUAGAUACCCUGGUAGUCCACGCCGUAACGAUGAGUACUAAGUGUCGGGUUAACCGGUACUGAAGUUACACAUUAAGUACUCCGCCUGAGUAUACGUACGAAGUAUGAACUUAAGGAAUUACGGACUCCGCCAAGCGGUGGACAUGUUGUUUAUUCGAGAUCCCGAAAACCUUACAGGUCUUGCAUGUUUUGCGAACGGUAGUAUAUCGUGGAGGUAUCAAAACACAGGUGGUCAUGGUGUCGCCGCUCGUGUCUGAGAUUUAGGUAAGUCCUAAACGACCGAACCCUAUCGUAGUGCCACACUUAUGGUGGGACUUUACGAGCUGCAGUGAUAAUUGAAGAAGUGAGAUCCGUCAAUCACAUGCCCUUUGACUGGCUACAACGGAUAAAUGCUGUACAAGGUACUGAACCAGUUUUGGCAUCCCAAAAAGUCCAUCCGAUGAAUUGAAUCACUCUGAGUGGAUCCUGUAUCCGAUCACUUCCGGGAUCUUCCGGUGACCCCCCCCCCCAAAAACCCCGGUUUUUUU